This 1812-nucleotide long non-coding RNA is filed under the name Homo sapiens (human). Its description in RNAcentral is "non-protein coding MCHR2-AS1:14". The record is from RNAcentral. Lineage: Eukaryota; Metazoa; Chordata; Mammalia; Primates; Hominidae.
GAGUUUGUGGUUUGGCCAUUCUGAUAGAUAAGAGAAAAUAGUUUCUUUUUACUAAGAAAUCUUCUAGACCUAUACAGUUCUAAUUUAUGAACUGUCACAGUAUAGGACAAAGAGUGGGGUUUAAGAUAAUAAUGAAAAGUAUAAACAAGUCAUGGGGGGUUUAUAAAUCUUGUAAAGAGAAUUUUGUGUGUAAUUGGGUUGGCUGGGAUUAGAAGGGAAUUGCUUGUAAGUUUUUCUAAGAACUGGGCAUUAAUGUCAGGAGUGUGCUGAUACAGGACCAGAAUCUGAUUCUCUGUGUUUGAAGCAACAAGGUUUUCCUAGAAUGUUGAUCAACUCUUAGUAAAAAAAAAAUUGCAAGAGGUUUGGAUUUUAAUUCUCAAAUCCAUUUCUUUAAAUUUUCAACCAUCUUGUGACCUACAGCUUUUCCAUGUUUUACAGCUUCUACCUAAUUUCAAGUUAGAAGUGCUGUUUUCACUUAAAAUGAUAAUUACAUUUUUUGAGUAGACUUUUCCUCUUAAAGCCUUUCAGAUUCAUAUGCCUAGGGUUUGGCUUUUUACUGCAUCUCACUACGUGUGAUUUGCAGGUCAUGCAUCAUUGCUUUCUGCUUUUCUUCCUUAGCUCCUUGAAAAUAGGAUACAUAUUUUGCUUAACUAGAGUGGUUACUUUAUUCCUUAACCUUUUCAUCCAUUUCUGUAGCCUUUUUCCAGGUUUGACUCUGCUAUUGUGGUCUAACACUAAGAAAGUUUGUCUUAAAGGACUAAUAAAACAAUAUCUCUUCCAUUAUAACUUGAUUCUACACUCUUGGCUUUUCCUGAUGCCUCUAAAUUGUUCCAUGUAAACAGAUAAUUUCACACACUUUUACUUUUUCUCAAAGCUAUAGAUUCCCCUGCUCAAGGUAAUGGUUCUCUUGUUUACGUUGUUAUUUUAUAAUAGGGUGUACACUCAUAAUCAUGGACAUACACUCUUUCAGUGUCCAAUUUAAUUGAAAUACCUUUUCAACAGGUUUCUACUUCAAGGUUAUCUAAAUGGGCUUCCAAUAAAGAGAAGCACUAAUACUGCAGGAGGUGUGUGUGUGUAUGUGCGCAUGUGGUUGUUUUUUAACGUUUUAAGUAAUAAGCCUAAGAAACAGGAUUUUUUUUUGUUUUAUUCAUAUAGUUUCUUGUGCUUUCUGCUGUCCUUAUUAGGUUUUUGAUUACUUAGAAAAGCUGAAUCAUCUCUAAUUAGUGAUGCUAAAUCUUUCUUAAAAUUUAUUUAUGUAGAUGUGUUGAUGUUUUAAAAAUUAUGUAAAAUUUAUAAAGGUCUGAUAGUCCUUUUGUGACACUGUCAGUCGUAAUUCUGGUCAUCUUAAAAUAUGGUAGAAGUGACUAAAUUUCCUUGUGUUAGUAACAAAAAAUUCUCAUCAGAUUUUUAACCAUGGCUAUUUUAAGUUUUUGUCAUUUACGAUUUUGAUUUUUCUCUAAAGGCAUCUUCAAUCAGAUUCAUAGAAAAUACUCUAACAAGUACUUUUGAAUACAGUUUCUGAUAACUUUAAAAUCAAUGCAUGAAGUAAAAAUGUCCAAAAUGCUUAUAAAAAAUAAUUGAGGAGUUCAUGAAACUGCUAACCAAGAUCAGACAAAGCAAGAAUUAAUUAUAUGGACUAAACUGAUAAAGGAAUAUGAUUUUUAUAAUAUUUAUUUAAAAUAUUUAUGGUUCUUUAAUGAAUUGUGGUUCUUUAUUUUUCAGAUUUGAGGAAACUCCUAAGGUCCCUCCAGUGUACAACAAUUUGGUAAAAUAUACUGUGAACAGAAUUAAAAUAUUUGCCUUUUCUCUCUA